Molecule: microRNA, 25 nt
Filed under: Equus caballus (horse)
Lineage: Eukaryota; Metazoa; Chordata; Mammalia; Perissodactyla; Equidae
Description: eca-miR-9110
Source: miRBase by way of RNAcentral
UGAAAGAGGGUCUCCGGUGAGGCUU